UACGUAGGGCGCGGAGCGUUGUCCGGAAUUAUUGGGCGUAAAGAGCUCGUAGGCGGCUUGUUGCGUCGGCUGUGAAAACCCGUGGCUUGAACUGCCGGCUUGCAGCCUGAUACGGGCGGCGUGGAGUUCGGUAGGGGAGACUGGAAUUCCUGUGUAGCGGUGAAAUGCGCAGAUAUCAGGAGGAACACCGGUGGCGAAGGCGGGUCUCUGGGCCGAUACUGACGCUGAGGAGCGAAAGCGUGGGGAGCGAACAGG
This 255-nucleotide ribosomal RNA is filed under the name uncultured bacterium. RNAcentral's name for it is "partial 16S ribosomal RNA". It matches the Rfam family "Bacterial small subunit ribosomal RNA", at positions 524 to 776 of the family's 1533-position model. The record is from RNAcentral.